AAAUUAGAGACGCAUGCUUAAAAAAAAAAAGAAUAAAUUUGGAAGGCCAACUUCCCGCGUUUUGCCGUUACAAUUUGUCUCCAAGUCAACAAUUUUGUCCACUUUUUUUAUGAAUGGCUACAUGCCUGGUACAACUCCCCACUCCGGCGGAGACCGAAGGGCCUACUACCUCCGGCUUAUCGCCGCCGCCUCUUCCCUCUUUCAUCUCCGCCAAAUCCUUUCCCACGCCAUCAUUUCCGGCCACCACCCUGACCUGCCCACUACUACUAAGCUCAUCCACCGCCACUCCGACCUCUCCAAACCGCCUUCCUCCGCUCUUCCUCUCGCGCUUUUCAAUUCUCAUCCCCAACCUGAUCUCUUCCUCCUCAACGUUCUUCUACGCUCCCUUCCCGCGGCCUCCGCCCUCUCCCUCUUCUCCAACCUCCCCCAACGUCAUCCCCAUCUCCGCCCGGACAGCUUCACUUUCUCCUUCGCCCUUUCCGCCGCGGCUUCUCUUUCUUCUCCUUCCACCGGCCGCGCUCUUCAUGGCCAAAUCAUCUUGGCUGGCGGCCUUGACACAGAUCGUUUUAUCGGGUCCGCACUGACCGAUUUCUACUUCAAGUUUAUGCAGAUCUCCAAUGCCGAGAAGGUGUUCGAUCAAAUUCCCCAUCCGGAUACAGUUUCGUGGAACUCCCGCAUUUCAGGGCUUGUCCGCUGCUGCUCUUUCCUCAGAGCGGUAAGGGCCUUUGGGCGGAUGGUAGCGCUUGGAAAUUGCGUUGAUUCUACAACUCUGGCUGUUGUUCUCCCAGCCACGGCUGAGCUCCAGGAUCUUAUUUUGGGGAGAUCCAUGCAUUGCUUAGGGUUGAAAACAGGUAUGGAAGAUCAACCCCAUGUUGUCACCGGACUCUUAUCAUUGUACUCCAAAUGUGAUGAUAUCCCUGCUGCGGAAAUCAUCUUUGAGGAGAUUGACCAGCCUGAUAUUAUUCACUGCAACGUGAUGAUUUCUGGCUAUUCUUCCACUGGUUGUAUUCGAUCUUCAGUUGAUUUAUUCAGGGAUUUGCAGUUUUCAGGUUGGCGGCCAAAUUCCAGCACGCUUGUGGCUCUGAUCCCUGUAACUGAUCCAUUUGGCCAUGAGUGCCUCUGUAGAGAAAUUCAUGGGUUUUUGGUCAAGACUAGGCUCGAUCUGGAUUUGUUGGUAUCCACUGCCCUCACCACUGUUUAUAGUAAACUAAAUGAUAUUGAAUCAGCAAGGAAGGUUUUUGAUGCAAUGUCUGAAAAGAGCUUGGCGUCAUGGAAUGCUAUGAUAUCAGGCUAUGCACAGAAUGGCUUGACAGAGUUUGCAAUCUCCCUCUUCCAAGAUAUGCAAUCACUCAAUUUUAAGCCUAACCCUGUCACAGCUGCCAGUAUCCUCUCAGCCUGUGCGCAGCUUGGAGCUCUUACAUUGGGGAAAUGGAUCCACCAAAUAAUAAUCCAUGAGGAUCUCGAGUUAAAUGUCUAUGUAUGCACUGCACUGAUCGACAUGUAUGCAAAAUGUGGGAACAUUGUUGAAGCUCAGAGGAUAUUUAACGGCAUGGCUGAAAAAAAUGUAGUUUCCUGGAAUGCAAUGAUAUCUGGCUACGGUCUUCAUGGUUAUGGUCAUGAAGCUUUAAGGCUCUUCAGUGAGAUGCUUUCUGCACAAAUUUCUCCAACUUCUACCACAUUUCUUUCAGUCCUUCAUGCUUGUAGCCAUGGUGGAUUAGUGGAAGAGGGCCAUGAUAUCUUCCUAUCGAUGGCCCGCAAUUAUGGAGUAUGUCCGCGGGCUGAGCACUAUGCAUGUAUGGUUGAUCUCCUAGGUCGUGCUGGCCGGCUCAUUGAGGCCCUGGAUUUCAUAAGAACGGCUCCUAAGGAUGUUGGCCCUGGUGUCUGGGGUGCUUUCCUUGGUGCUUGCAAGGUCCAUAAGGUGACUAGCCUUGCAAAGUUGGCCUCAAAAAAGCUGUUUGAGCUUGAACCAGAAAAUGCUGGUUACUAUGUUCUACUCUCCAACAUUUACUCAGCCAGCCAUAACUUCCUGGAGGCCGCAGCAGUGAGAGAGGCGGCCAAGAGAAAAAAUCUUGCCAAGCUGCCUGGUUGCACUAUAAUUGAGGUGAAUGAUGUUGUUCAUAGCUUUACGGCUGGUGAUAGAUCUCACCCUCAAACCUUAGCCAUCUACUCCAUGUUGGAGAGUUUGCUAGGCAAGAUAGUGGAGGCUGGGUACCAAGCAGAGACACAAGCAGUUUUGUAUGAUGUGGAGGAAGAAGAGAAGGAACAAAUGAUAAAGAUUCACAGUGAGAAGCUUGCUAUUGCGUUUGGUCUCAUCAAUGCAAAGUCGGAAAGUGAGAUUAGAAUAAUCAAGAAUCUCAGAGUAUGCUUAGAUUGUCACAACUGGACCAAGUUCAUAUCCGUGGUUACCAAGAGGGUGAUUGUUGUCAGGGAUGCUAGUAGGUUUCACCAUUUCAGGGAUGGCAUGUGCUCUUGUCGGGACUACUGGUGAAUGCUGUUUGAAAAGCAGACUAUUUAAGGAGGCUCUAAAUAGUUUGAUAUACCUGAUCAUUUUCAAAAAAAGAAAAGAAAAAGUGGCCAUGCACAUGUACUUGUACAAGGAGAGUUUACAUCAUACCUGCAGCUCUCCUGCAAAAACUAGUAGUUCAGUGCAGUCGUCAAGCAUGGAUCUUUCUUUUCUUGCAGAAGCCAAAACUUCGGAAAACUAUUGCUACAUGAUCAACAGCCCCAAAGGAUGGAAAUCCUCACAUGCUCAUUAUUUACCAAGAAAUUCCUUAUAAUUAGCUACCCAAGACAGUAGGAAUCCAUAAUGUGCUCGCCUUUAGAGCUCUAGUUGUUCCAGAUAAUGAAAAAUGAUGUUCAUUUUCAAUAGCGGCCCAGUCUUCAAG
Dendrobium catenatum is the source of this 2885-nucleotide RNA transcript. It is a transcript of the gene named pentatricopeptide repeat-containing protein At4g30700, with no coding region annotated. The transcript has 4 exons. The record is from RefSeq and is a predicted model, not a curated record. Lineage: Eukaryota; Viridiplantae; Streptophyta; Magnoliopsida; Asparagales; Orchidaceae.